ACGGCGAGUGAAGCGGGAAGAGCUCAAUUUGAAAAUCGUCUACCUAAGCGGGUCGACGAGUUGUAGCCUAGAGACGUACUAUCAGCUGAAACCUGGGUAUAAGUUCUUUGGAAUGAGGCAUCAUAGAGGGUGAGAAUCCCGUAUAUGACCCAAAGCUUUCAGCGUACGAUGUAUGUUCAUCGAGUCGAGUUGUUUGGGAUUGCAGCUCUAAAUGGGUGGUAAGUUUCAUCUAAAGCUAAAUAAUGGCGAGAGACCGAUAGCGAACAAGUACCGUGAGGGAAAGAUGAAAAGAACUUUGAAAAGAGAGUUAAAAGUACUUGAAAUUGCUAAGAGGGAAGCGCUGACAACCAGUGCUUCACGCCGUUCAUCGCUGUCAGCCCCACUGGGCGACGUGCGCAGUUGGUCAAACUCUGCGUCGCGUCGUCGAAAGGGAGGUUGGCGGUUUAGGACGGCGGGUGAGUCAAGAUCCGUUUGGACUGUGGGAGAAAGUGGUGAGAAAGGUAGGAAAGCUUCGGCUUUCUGUUAUAGUCUCAUCACCCUACCUCGGCCUAGACGGAGGAAGGAAUAGUGCGCCGCUUGCGGCUUAGUCCCGCGCCUCUACGGCCCCAACUGUGUUGAUAGCAAUGCUAUCCUCACGGCGAAGUGGUCGUACUGGGCGCGGUGACUCUAUGUGCUAUCACGA
Molecule: ribosomal RNA, 682 nt
Filed under: uncultured fungus
Lineage: Eukaryota; Fungi
Description: eukaryotic LSU rRNA
Rfam family: Eukaryotic large subunit ribosomal RNA
Source: RNAcentral